CAUGGUGCCUGUGUCCUUCAUAACUUGGGUCACAGCAGUUUCCAACAAGAAAGAGAACUGAAACAACCAGGGAAUUCCCUGGCAAGGAGAAGUCCUGCCCAGUCUGCAUCUUUCAGAAGCCAGGAGGAAUGCCCCAGGUUUGUGGGUAGGAGUAUGCAUACACAGUGCUGGUUGUUGGCUUUCCGGAGGCAGAUGGGAGCUGGAAGUCUCACGAAGGGAGAGUAAGAGCCCGAAGGAAAGCCGAUUCAUUACAAUGCUGGCUAAUACCCACAGGAACACUGAACUCCACUGUGUGGGAGCUUGAGGGGCCUGUGCUGCCCAUGCCGAGUGUCCACCAUCUCACACUGCUUCUAACACCUUCAAGCCAUCUCCUGAAUCUGGAAUAGUCAUCAUGAGCUGGAGGCUUCCUCAGAAGAACCCUAAAAUCAAGGGGGAUUCUGGUGCCAAGAAAAAUAGCCCAACCCAGCUUCACAGCUGUGAGCCUCCAAUGCGCCCCAGGAAGCUGCCAUCACCAUGGGUAGCGCGACCUGGCUUGAUUUUGCCAAAACAAAGGAAAAUUCCUCCAGCAAUUUCUGUGAAUUUGUUUUGCAAAACUGAAUUGUCUGCUUUUAAUUCCCCUAUACCAAUUAAAUAAAAAUUGGAAUUUAAAAUCCA
This is a long non-coding RNA of Homo sapiens (human), 654 nucleotides long. RefSeq annotates it as TIFAB antisense RNA 1. The record is from RefSeq and is a predicted model, not a curated record. Lineage: Eukaryota; Metazoa; Chordata; Mammalia; Primates; Hominidae. The transcript is spliced from 2 exons.